GCUGGUCGCCGGCUUCUUAGAGGGACUGCGGUUGCGUCUAGCCCGCGGAAGUUUGAGGCAUUAACAGGUGUGUUAUGCCCUUAAAUGUUCUGGGCCGCACGCGCGCUACACUGACAGAGCCAGCGAGCUUUUCACCUUGGCCGGAAGGUCUGGGUAAUCUUGUGAAACUCUGUCGUGCUGGGGAUAGAGCAUUGCAAUUAUUGCUCUUCAACGAGGAAUUCCUAGUAAGCGUGAGUCAUCAGCUCGCGUUGAUUACGUCCCUGCCCUUUGUACACACCGCCCGUCGCUACUACCGAUUGAAUGGCUUAGUGAGGUCUUCAGAUUGGCUUCGGAGAGACGGAAACGUCUCACUGUUGCUGAGAAGUUGAUCAAACUUGGUCAUUUAGAGGAAGUAAAAGUCGUAACAAGGUUUCCGUAGGUGAACCUGCGGAAGGAUCAUUACCGAACUGUAAACACGAGUUGUUGCUGGUCCUCAAAUCGAGGGCAUGUGCACGCUCUGUUCACACAUCCACUCACACCUGUGCACCCACUGUAGUUCUAUGGCGUGGGGGACUCUGUCCUCCUGCUGCGGUUCUGCAUCUUUACAACACACAAUGUAAUAGUCUCAUGGAAUGUACACCGCGUUUAACGCAAUACAAUACAACUUUCAGCAACGGAUCUCUUGGCUCUCGCAUCGAUGAAGAACGCAGCGAAAUGCGAUAAGUAAUGUGAAUUGCAAAAUUCAGUGAAUCAUCAAAUCUUUGAACCCACCUUGCGCCCUUUGGCUAUUCCGAAGGGCAUGCCUGUUUGAGUAUCAUGAACACCUCAACUCUCAUGGUUCGCCAUGAUGAGCUUGGACUCUGGGGGUUUUGCUGGCCUAUGGUCGGCUCUCCUCAAAUAAAUCAGCUUGCCAGUGUUUUGGUGGCAUCGCAGGUGUGAUAACUAUCUACGCUUGUGGACUCCGGGGAGGCAACCUUCAGUGAUGAAGGUUCGCUGGAGCUUAUAAAU
Molecule: ribosomal RNA, 987 nt
Filed under: uncultured Tomentella
Lineage: Eukaryota; Fungi; Basidiomycota; Agaricomycetes; Thelephorales; Thelephoraceae
Description: eukaryotic LSU rRNA
Rfam family: Eukaryotic small subunit ribosomal RNA (bases 1-441)
Source: RNAcentral